UGUGAAUCAUUUGCCUCAUUA
Molecule: non-coding RNA, 21 nt
Filed under: Arabidopsis thaliana (thale cress)
Lineage: Eukaryota; Viridiplantae; Streptophyta; Magnoliopsida; Brassicales; Brassicaceae
Source: RNAcentral